UUAAAUUUUAUUUAUUAAUUUAGUUUAUUUAAAUUUUUAAUAUUAAAAAUAAUUAUAUAUUUUAAAGUUUUAGUAUUGUUUAAAGAAAAAAUAAAUUUAAUUAUAGUGAAUUAGUAUUGUAAAAGAAAAUUGAAAUAAUUUGAAAAAUUAUUAUUAAAAAAGAAAAUUUAAUUUAUUGUACCUUGUGUAUCAGUGUUUAUUAAAUAAAAAAUAUUUAUAUAUUUUUCUCGAUUUUAAAAGAGUUAAUAUAAUAUUAAAGUUAAUGUAAUAAAAUUAUUUUAAAUAUUAUAUUAGAAAUGAAAUGUUAUUCGUUUUUAAAGGUAUCUAGUUUUUCAAGAAAUAAAUUUAAUUUAGAAAUUAUAAAUUUAUUUAAAAAAUUUUUUAAUUAAAUAAUUUAUAAUUUUAAUAUUUUAUGGGAUAAGCUAUAAAAUAAAUUUUUAAAAAUAAUAAAUAAAUUUAAUAAAUAUAUGUUUAGAAUUAGCAAUUAUUAAUAAAUAUGUUAUAAUUUAUUUUAUAAAAAAAAAUUAUUUAUUAUAUUUUAAAUUUUUAUUGAAAUAUUAAUUUUAAUUUUUAAAAUUAAUUAAUAAUGAUAAAAUUAGUAUAUUAUAUUGUUAAAUAAAUUUAAAUGAUAAGUUAAAAUAAAG
This 644-nucleotide ribosomal RNA is filed under the name Drosophila pallidipennis. RNAcentral describes it as "partial 16S ribosomal RNA". Lineage: Eukaryota; Metazoa; Arthropoda; Insecta; Diptera; Drosophilidae. The record is from RNAcentral.